Molecule: non-coding RNA, 547 nt
Filed under: Trichomonas vaginalis G3
Lineage: Eukaryota; Parabasalia; Trichomonadida; Trichomonadidae
Description: Eukaryotic large subunit ribosomal RNA
Rfam family: Eukaryotic large subunit ribosomal RNA
Source: Rfam by way of RNAcentral
CUAACGAUCCCUAAAUAGCCUCAGGUGCGUGAGGAUUGGGGUGACAGACAAGUUACCUCCGGGACAACUGGCUUGUGGCUGCUAAGAGAUCAAAUCAACGCAGCUUUUUGAUUCUUCGAUGUCGGCUCUUCCUAUCCUAGUGAUGUACAAGUUGCUAAGGGUCGGAUUGUUCACCCGUAUUAGGGAUCGUGAGCUGGGUUUAGACCGUCGUGAGCCAGGUUUGUUUUAUCCUACUGGAUAUAGCAUCAUGAUAGUAGAUUGAUUUAGUACGAGAGGAACUGUUGAUUAUGGCCUCUGGUUAGCGAUUAUCGGAAACGGUAUGUCGCGCAGCUACGCCGUCUGGGAUAAUGGCUGAAAGCCUCUUAAGCCAGAAGCCCAUCUAGAAAGUGAUGCACGUGAUGUUGGACCGAUACGAAUAAUCAUACUCAAAAGGUCCGCUUCAUAGGUAACCCAAUGUAGAAGACAUUGUGUGAACGAAGGUACUGUAAGCAGUGGAGUGGCAUUACGUCCACGACCUGUUGAGGUUCAGCUUCGCUUCUAGGUUUCC